AGUCCUCUGGCCAGGGCAGCGGGGCAAAGAGCGGGGGAAGGAAAGAAGAACGGAGCAGCCGGGUUAGACAGAUGGCUUCAGUCACUAAGUAGACUUUAGCCUGCAACUUAGUCUCUUAUGUGUAGAUAAAAUGUAAACUCCAUGAGGGAAGGUGUAUGCCCAGAGCCUAACAAAAUCCCUAAUCCAAAGUGGCCUAAAUAUAGGCUUGUUGAAGUCUGAAGAAGAGAAAGAAAACUGCUCCCUUCUCUCUACGGGUACUAUAAGACUCAGCUGAUAAUGUUGCACUGUUCCCACUACAACUCACUGCCUCCCUUGGAAGAGCUACCAUUUUAGAGUAGCUUCCUGUAGAUGCCAAUGAAUAUUCCAGAUGUCCACAUGCUCGGGAGAGAUGACCCUGCCUGUGAAAGGACCCAUCUCAGUGCCUGCUUUGAUCCAAGUCUUGGAGAAGAU
Sarcophilus harrisii (Tasmanian devil) is the source of this 450-nucleotide long non-coding RNA. RefSeq lists it as uncharacterized. The transcript has 3 exons. NCBI's taxonomy places the organism in Eukaryota, Metazoa, Chordata, Mammalia, Dasyuromorphia, Dasyuridae. The record is from RefSeq and is a predicted model, not a curated record.